RNAcentral lists this ribosomal RNA (462 nucleotides) under uncultured bacterium. RNAcentral's name for it is "partial 16S ribosomal RNA". It matches the Rfam family "Bacterial small subunit ribosomal RNA", at positions 28 to 507 of the family's 1533-position model. The record is from RNAcentral.
GACGAACGCUGGCGGCGUGCUUAACACAUGCAAGUCGAGCGGUAAGGCCUUUCGGGGUACACGAGCGGCGAACGGGUGAGUAACACGUGGGUGAUCUGCCCUGCACUUCGGGAUAAGCCUGGGAAACUGGGUCUAAUACCGGAUAUGACCUCCUAUCGCAUGGUGGGUGGUGGAAAGAUUUAUCGGUGCAGGAUGGGCCCGCGGCCUAUCAGCUUGUUGGUGGGGUAAUGGCCUACCAAGGCGACGACGGGUAGCCGACCUGAGAGGGUGACCGGCCACACUGGGACUGAGACACGGCCCAGACUCCUACGGGAGGCAGCAGUGGGGAAUAUUGCACAAUGGGCGAAAGCCUGAUGCAGCGACGCCGCGUGAGGGAUGACGGCCUUCGGGUUGUAAACCGCUUUCAGCAGGGACGAAGCGCAAGUGACGGUACCUGCAGAAGAAGCACCGGCUAACUACGUG